UAACAGUAAGCUUCCUAAUAAGAAGCCUUAAGGCAAGAAUGCCUAUCUAUCUUUAUGGUGAAAGACAAUGAGAGAUUAAGAAGAUAAAUAUAAGUUUCAACAAGCAAAAGAAGCAAGAUGAAAAAGGGUACGAGGUGCCCAGUUAAUAAAGGUUAACAGUGUUUAUAAUUUAGGCAGAGGAAUAUAAGUUUUUGAGUUAUAUUCAAAAGUAACAGAGGUAUGUACUUGGUCACACCCUCAGUUAUGUCCUGUGGGGGCUAACAUGUAUAGUAAGAGAAGGACGGGAUAUCAAGAUCCGACUGGGGUUGGGAUAACCCAAAUUGGUAAAUAGAUUGCUUGUGAUAGUUGACAUUGCCGAAGGAUAUUGCAAAUGUGCUAAUAAUAUCACUUUUGUCACGACCCAAAUAGAUGGGCGACGAUGGACACCCGGUACCUUACUCAACCGAGUACCGACGUAACGUUUCUUUCUUAUUACAUCAUCAUAUACACGUAACAUACGGGCCAAAUAGGCCAACAUGAUCAUUUAUAAACUCAAAACAUAGGCCGACAAGGCCGUAACCUUUUACGUACAUGACAUCUAUCUACAAGACUCUAAAAAUACAUAAUUUUCAUAAAGGUCAGGAUAGAGUCCCGCCAUACCAAACAAUACACAUUUAACUCAUACUAACCAAACAAGCAACUCCGAAGCAAAUGGAGCGCACCAACAUCUUCCGCUGAGCUGAUAGCCUACUUGGAGGGCUCUCGACCUGUCUAUCGGAACAUAAGGUCAUGAAACGCAGCGUCCCCAGGAAAAAAGGGACGUCAGUACGAAUAAUGUACUGAGUAUGUAAGGCACAUAAAUAAGUACAUAACAGAUAUGGAGGAAAUAUAGAGUAAAUGACUCCACCUGUAAGUAUGGAUAACUUUGUAAAUAAUGAAAUAAUUAUAGUAUCAUGCAUAUGCGUAUGAAUGUCAUGUCGUGCAUAGGUACUUGUUUCAUAACAUCAUCACCCUCGGAGGCAUCCCAUCAUAUCAUCUUGGCCACAGUGGGAAAAAUCAUCAACAUAUACCACCUGAUCAGGUGGUGGUGCAUAUAUAACACUAUAACAUUUCUCAUAUCCCAUAUACAUAUACAUACAUAUAUAUAUGUGUAUGUAACGCCAUCUGGUAACGGGUCAAUGUACAUGAAUGCAAUGCAUGAAAAGUACAUUAAUAAAAUCUUUCGAAAUGUCAUAAGACCAAUUUGCCUUUGAGUAAUAUCAUAAAGUAAACUUAUGACCCGUGAACAGAUGAAUAAAGUCAUUUAUGGACCCAUGAACAGAUGAUACAAUAUUAUGACACAUGGAAAUUCAAGAACAUAGAUAUUUCUAAUACUUCUAUGAAUAAAGUCAUUUAGGCAAUUUGUGCAUUUGCACGUUUCGUUCGUAUCGUAUGGAUCAUGCCAAAAGAAAGAAGGAAUAGCCUUAACAUACCUGAAGUAGGGAAAAUUCUGUAUAAUAUUUCGUUGGAAAACCUUCAUUGAUUGAACAAAAUUUGCCCCUGCUUCUUAGAAAUUCAUAGAAGAAUUGCUUCUGGUUUCUAAAAUUUUGGAAUGAAGGAAACGUUUUUGGUUUCCUUGAAGUUGUUGAGAGGAAAAGGUUUUCUGGUUUCUUAAGAAUUGAGAGGGAUAACAUUUCUGUUUCAUUUAAGUUUGGAAAGAAUAACAUUUUGUUUGGAUUCAUGUUACUUAUCUAUUCAUGUCUCUUAAGUUAGAGAUAUACUUUAUAUUUG
RNAcentral lists this long non-coding RNA (1749 nucleotides) under Nicotiana tabacum (common tobacco). RNAcentral describes it as "long non-coding RNA (NTAB_LNC010176)". The record is from RNAcentral. Lineage: Eukaryota; Viridiplantae; Streptophyta; Magnoliopsida; Solanales; Solanaceae.